Non-coding RNA from Gekko japonicus, 70 nucleotides. NCBI's taxonomy places the organism in Eukaryota, Metazoa, Chordata, Lepidosauria, Squamata, Gekkonidae. The record is from the annotation of a RefSeq genome assembly.
GUACACAUAGUUUAAUACAAAACGCUAAAUUGUGGAUUUAGAAUUAGGGGCCCCAACCCCCUUUUAUACC